Non-coding RNA from Podarcis lilfordi (Lilford's wall lizard), 73 nucleotides. Lineage: Eukaryota; Metazoa; Chordata; Lepidosauria; Squamata; Lacertidae. The record is from the annotation of a GenBank genome assembly.
GCUGGGAUAGUUCAGUUGGUAGAGCAUGAGACUGCGAAUCUCAGGGUUGUGGGUUCGAGCCCCAUGUUGGGUA